Molecule: ribosomal RNA, 404 nt
Filed under: uncultured bacterium
Lineage: Bacteria
Description: partial 16S ribosomal RNA
Rfam family: Bacterial small subunit ribosomal RNA
Source: RNAcentral
GACGAACGCUAGCGGCGUGCUUAACACAUGCAAGUCGAGCGGAGCGGCGAACGGGUGAGUAACGCGGGAGUAACUGCCCCCCUCUCAGGGAUAACAGUUGGAAACGGCUGCUAAUACCGGAUAGUGGGGGAUGACUCGCGUCCUAUCUGCUUGUUGGUGGGGUAGUGGACUGCAAAGGCGACGACGGGUAGCCGGCCUGGGAGGGCGACCGGCCACAUUGGUCUGAGAUACGGCCCAAUCUCCUACUGGAGGCAGCAGUGGGGAAUAUUGCCCAAUGGGGGAAACCCUGAUGCAGCAACGCGCGGGCGGGAUGACGUCCUUCGGGUUGUAAACCGCUUUCAGCCAUGACGCGGUAGUGGCAGAAGAAGCACCGGCUAACUACGUGCCAGCAGCCGCGGUAAUUC